GACAACAGAACAACGACGCCGUUUUUGAAUGAACUUUGUGUUGUUUUUGUUUACUGUUUGCGUUAUAAAUAAAGUUAUAAAUGUUCAUAAAUCUGGACCAGUUUUCAUGUUUGGUGUGUGAUGUGAUGUAUAAUUGUAUAAAUUAUCAGAUGGAUUACCUUAUUUGCAGCCUGCGGUUUACAAUCACAGUGAUUCAGUUCAGUUCGCGAAAUCGGUUGCUUAUUGCUAACCAUUUAACUUUCAAUAGUGCAAAGUACUAAAGUAGUCUUGUCCAUUAAAAUCUGAAGAAAUCUUUCAUGCGUUUCAUGUCAGUGAUGUAUCAAUGAGCUGAAGAAGUUACACAUUUCUCUUUAUUGUUAUACACCGAGACACCGAGCGUUGGUGCUGUUAAGUCCAAGUGGAAUGUUGAAGAGGGAGUAAUUGUGAAGACCAUCAGUGGUUGGAUUCACCAGACGCUCAACAAAUUAAAAUGCUCGUCAGAUGCAGGGACGGCCCUCGUGAGAUCACCACCUAAAUCCACAGAGAGUUCACCCUCAGUACCCUCCUAAGAAGACGAGGUCUUCCACACAAAUUAAUAUGUCUUGUACUUGUACAUUUUUUAAAUACAUUGUUUA
This is a long non-coding RNA of Macrosteles quadrilineatus (aster leafhopper), 614 nucleotides long. RefSeq lists it as uncharacterized. The record is from RefSeq and is a predicted model, not a curated record. The transcript has 3 exons. Lineage: Eukaryota; Metazoa; Arthropoda; Insecta; Hemiptera; Cicadellidae.